RNAcentral lists this ribosomal RNA (570 nucleotides) under Hansenula anomala. RNAcentral's name for it is "Wickerhamomyces anomalus partial large subunit ribosomal RNA". It matches the Rfam family "Eukaryotic large subunit ribosomal RNA", at positions 50 to 634 of the family's 3401-position model. Lineage: Eukaryota; Fungi; Ascomycota; Saccharomycetes; Phaffomycetales; Wickerhamomycetaceae. The record is from RNAcentral.
AGUGAGGAAAAGAAACCAACAGGGAUUGCCUCAGUAACGGCGAGUGAAGCGGCAAAAGCUCAAAUUUGAAAUCUAGCACCUUCGGUGUUCGAGUUGUAAUUUGAAGAUGGUAACCUUGGGUUUGGCUCUUGUCUAUGUUCCUUGGAACAGGACGUCAUAGAGGGUGAGAAUCCCGUCUGAUGAGAUGCCCAUUCCUAUGUAAGGUGCUAUCGAAGAGUCGAGUUGUUUGGGAAUGCAGCUCUAAGUGGGUGGUAAAUUCCAUCUAAAGCUAAAUAUUGGCGAGAGACCGAUAGCGAACAAGUACAGUGAUGGAAAGAUGAAAAGAACUUUGAAAAGAGAGUGAAAAAGUACGUGAAAUUGUUGAAAGGGAAGGGCAUUAGAUCAGACUUGGUGUUUUACGAUUAUCUUCUCUUCUUGAGUUGUGCACUCGUAUUUCACUGGGCCAGCAUCGAUUCGGAUGGCAAGAUAAUGGCAGUUGAAUGUGGCUUCACUUCGGUGGAGUGUUAUAGCUUCUGCUGAUAUUGCCUGUCUGGAUCGAGGGCUGCGUCUUUGACUAGGAUGCUGCCAAAA